CCAGUGCGUAGCCCACGGCAUGUAGUGAGUUUACUAUGCCAUUAUGACAAGAACUAAGGGCCCCGCGAUCUUUUGAGACCCCACAGUGUCCGCCCCACAUGUUUCCGCAUAACUUUAGUUGGCAAGGAAACAUAUUAAAAUCAGUUUCUGUAGUUGAAGCCGAAAGCCAAGACCGCAGUUAUCUCCUUGUAGAAAAGCUGAGGCACACCACUUACGAGCAACUUUCACUCAACUCUAACUUGUUGCUUAUGCAAAAGCUGAGGCACACCACUUUCGAGCAACUUUCACUCAACUCUAACUCUAUACUUCUCGCUUAUGCAAUAAAAUUGGCUCGUAGCAAGCACACAAUUUUCUUACUAUAGUUUUAAAUCUUAGCAUCAAAUGUGGUAUAACAACUGCCUAAAUAGACAAAACACUUCUCGACGUUUCGACCUGAGUGCCUUCGUCAAUAUUUAAUGUUAAGUUGUUUGAAGACGCUGCAACGCUGCUCCUUGGUUAUAUUAGUUUUAAAUC
Dendronephthya gigantea is the source of this 513-nucleotide long non-coding RNA. RefSeq lists it as uncharacterized. Lineage: Eukaryota; Metazoa; Cnidaria; Anthozoa; Malacalcyonacea; Nephtheidae. The record is from RefSeq and is a predicted model, not a curated record. The transcript has 3 exons.